Carassius gibelio (silver crucian carp) is the source of this 598-nucleotide long non-coding RNA. RefSeq lists it as uncharacterized. The record is from RefSeq and is a predicted model, not a curated record. The transcript is spliced from 2 exons. NCBI's taxonomy places the organism in Eukaryota, Metazoa, Chordata, Actinopteri, Cypriniformes, Cyprinidae.
GAUAUGAGAUUCACCUAGUCAAUUUGACUUGCAAAUACUCUAUAGAAGUGGACGAUGACAAAGCCUUCAUCCAAAAAUCCACAGAGGAGACCACAGUGGGAAUCUACAUUCUCAAAUUCCGUGACAGAUCAGAUGACAUCGGGAUUGUUCCGGAAGGCCAGAACAUCUUGCAAGGCUUGGACAACUUUGCGUUAGCUAUGGCAAUGCUUUUUGGUCUUAUGUAGGCCUAUGCCUUAAAUCUCAACUACCCACCUGAAAUGAAAAAUACAUUUGAGGUACUGCAGAAGAUAGUCUUCUGUUUUUUAGUAACUUGAUACUGUUCAUUUAAUUCUGUAGCACAUACAUAAAAAUGAGUUGUACUCUUAAAAGAAAUGCAUGAAUUUGACUGAUUAUGAUUUUAAAAAUGAAAAAAAAAAGUCAAGGUAUGCUUUUGACAACUUUAUAUUGUUCACCUUUUCCUCUACACCUGUUUGACGGUGUAUUUGUCUUAAUGUUUUUGUUGCAGUUACUGUAUGAAUGGUUAUUACUGUUCACCUUCAUGUUUGACUGUGCAUUGUCUUUUACUUGAAGUGAUGAAUAAAUGAAAUGAGUAAAGUGA